GUGCUGUGAUAAAGAAUAGAAAAAGGGACACACGUUGAGCUGGUGUCAGUUUCACAACAGGAAGGUUUAUUCUUCCUCUGUGCCCCAAAACGCUACUUGAUACCACUACGCGUAAUGCGCCCUCUAGCGGCUGGAUGCAGAAUAGCAUUGUAAACUGACAGGUACACAAAUACAAUCAUAACAAAAACCUUUGGGGGGGGGGGGGGGCUGUUUUCCCCAGUUUAUUUCUGAUACCAGAUUUUACUAGAAAGCUUUUUCAACUCUCUACAGAAGCAAUCUUUCACUUUAAAGACUUGGAGAGUCGUAGUAUGGAACGCCAGGACUGCCAUAAUGAAUUAAUUAAAUACACCAUUAAAUAAUUAAUUAAAUUUGGCAAUAAUUAAUUAAAAUUGGAAA
Long non-coding RNA from Oreochromis niloticus (Nile tilapia), 396 nucleotides. RefSeq lists it as uncharacterized. The record is from RefSeq and is a predicted model, not a curated record. Lineage: Eukaryota; Metazoa; Chordata; Actinopteri; Cichliformes; Cichlidae. The transcript has 2 exons.